Molecule: long non-coding RNA, 386 nt
Organism: Oncorhynchus tshawytscha (Chinook salmon)
Lineage: Eukaryota; Metazoa; Chordata; Actinopteri; Salmoniformes; Salmonidae
Source: Ensembl
CAGACAGACUGGGAUGACCAACACUGGUAGGCAGAGAGACUGGGAUGACCAACACUGGUAGGUAGAGAGACUGGGAUGACCAACACUGGUAGGCAGACAGACUGGGAUGACCAACACUGGUAGGCAGAGAGACUGGGAUGACCAACACUGGUAGGCAGAGAGACUGGGAUGACCAACACUGGUAGGCAGACAGACUGGGAUGACCAACACUGGUAGGUAGAGACAGACUGGAUGACCAACACUGGUAGCUUGGCAUGUAAAGGCGAGGAAGAUGCCAAUGCCACUACAGUAUAUCUCCAUGGAAGUAUGAACCCCCAUAGCUAGCUACAGUUGGGCUCAAUUCCAUUUCAAUUCCAGUCAAUUCAGGAAGUAAAAGUAUCUCCAAU